Molecule: ribosomal RNA, 810 nt
Filed under: uncultured bacterium
Lineage: Bacteria
Description: bacterial SSU rRNA
Rfam family: Bacterial small subunit ribosomal RNA
Source: RNAcentral
AGAGUUUGAUCAUGGCUCAGGACUAACGCUGGCGGCGUGCAUAACACAUGCAAGUCGAACGGGGUGUACCCGGGGGCAACCCUGGGUGCAUCUAGUGGCGAACGGGUGAGUAACACGUGGGAAACCUACCCCCUAGACUGGGAUAACCUACCGAAAGGUGGACUAAUACCAGAUGAGGUCGUAAGGUGCGAAUCCUUACGAUCAAAGGAUGGCGCAAGCUAUCGCUAAGGGAUGGGCCCGCGGCUGAUUAGCUAGUUGGCAGGGUAAAAGCCUACCAAGGCGACGAUCAGUAGCCGGCCUGAGAGGGCGUACGGCCACACUGGAACUGAGACACGGUCCAGACUCCUACGGGAGGCAGCAGUGGGGAAUCUUCCACAAUGGGCGAAAGCCUGAUGGAGCAACGCCGCGUGAGUGAUGAAGGCCUUCGGGUUGUAAAACUCUGUCGUGCAAGAAUAAAGCUGCUGGGUGAACAAUCCAGCAGUUUGACUGUAUUGCAGGAGGAAGACACGGCUAACUCUGUGCCAGCAGCCGCGGUAAUACAGAGGUGUCAAGCGUUGUCCGGAUUUACUGGGCGUAAAGGGCGUGUAGGCAGGUGGGUAAGUCGGAUGUGAAAUCACUGGGCUUAACCCAGUAACUGCAUCCGAAACUGCUUAUCUUGAGUACGGAAGAGGAAAGCGGAAUUCCCGGUGUAGCGGUGAAAUGCGUAGAUAUCGGGAGGAACACCAGUGGCGAAGGCGGCUUUCUGGUCCGUUACUGACGCUGAAACGCGAAAGCUAGGGGAGCAAACGGGAUUAGAUACCCUAGUAGUCC